Molecule: ribosomal RNA, 470 nt
Filed under: uncultured organism
Description: partial 16S ribosomal RNA
Rfam family: Bacterial small subunit ribosomal RNA
Source: RNAcentral
CACUCCUGCGGGAGGCAGCAGUGAGGAAUAUUGGACAAUGGGUGGAAGCCUGAUCCAGCCAUCCCGCGUGCAGGAAGACGGCCCUAUGGGUUGUAAACUGCUUUUAUCUGGGGAUAAACCUACUUACGUGUAAGUAGCUGAAGGUACCAGAAGAAUAAGCACCGGCUAACUCCGUGCCAGCAGCCGCGGUAAUACGGAGGGUGCAAGCGUUAUCCGGAUUUAUUGGGUUUAAAGGGUCCGUAGGCGGACUGAUAAGUCAGUGGUGAAAUCCGACAGCUUAACUGUCGAACUGCCAUUGAUACUGUUAGUCUUGAGUAAGGUUGAAGUGGCUGGAAUAAGUAGUGUAGCGGUGAAAUGCAUAGAUAUUACUUAGAACACCAAUUGCGAAGGCAGGUCACUAAGUCUUAACUGACGCUGAUGGACGAAAGCGUGGGGAGCGAACAGGAUUAGAAACCCCAGUAGUCCCAUGA